Long non-coding RNA from Chiroxiphia lanceolata (lance-tailed manakin), 1148 nucleotides. RefSeq lists it as uncharacterized. Lineage: Eukaryota; Metazoa; Chordata; Aves; Passeriformes; Pipridae. The record is from RefSeq and is a predicted model, not a curated record. The transcript has 3 exons.
GAAAGCGUGCUCGACCUGCAGGGAAUGGCUGAGGAUCGGUGCCGGCGGGGGAAGCACGGCUGGCCGGGACGGGAAGGUGCGCCCGGGAGGGAGGGCAAUGUUCACAGCGGCCGGGAACGGCGCUGCAGCUGAGCCGCCUUCUGGUGCACGGCGACCGUAAAUAAAGGGGCAGCGCCGGAGAGAGCUGGGGUGCCGCAGGGGUAGGGCAUGGAGGAGAGUGGUGGUGAUGUGCAUAUGGAAUGGAAAAAAAAAAAUAUUGAAAAAGAUAGAAUCACCAAGGAAGAAACACUGGGAGGGAAUUUCCCCAGCACAGUGGAAAUCCUCCCCAGCUCUCCAAGACCGGCUGCUGGAUACCGAACUCUGGGGCCCCAACAUAAGGGCGUGGAAAGAGCCAGUUUAUCUCUGCCUCUUACAUCCAAUACAGCUGAGUCUCUGAUGUGCAAGUGCACAAGAUAACUGUAAGCAGGACGUGAACUCUUCUGUCUCUGAUGACCCCUGUUGUCACCCCCGACCAUGAGGAUAUCUACAGAGGAAAUUCUCACUCUUUCCUGCUUGAGCUGUUCUGCUUUGUAUGGAAUCGACUGGGCCUGAGAUGACACCAAAGUACCUGUCUUCAUACUAAUCUGGGUUACAUACCUUUAAUUACUAAUACUUAUGUCACUCUUGUAUUAAGUACUUACAAGUGACUGCAUAUGCAUGUAUUUUAAUGGUCUUAAUGCACUUCUCUGGUUGCCUGGGAUAUGUUUUACUUAUGUUAAAUCAGGUAAGAAAUUACAACACACCCUGGCACUGAAGCAGUAUUUCUAAGGCCACUGAAAACAGGACCUGUGUGUUUGAAGACAAGUAAUUUGGAAUAGCAUGUUUAAACAAAACACAGGGAACUGGAGAGAGCAAACAAAUUCUUUAGGAAAAGUCCUAUAGAAUUCUAUCAGGUCACGUGGGAUAUUAGAGAAGUAUCUGUGAGCACCCAUUGUUUUGUGCAAAUUUGCACUGUGAGGUUGUGAUACUUAUGCUCAAAUAAAUAACAACUUAUUUUCUGUUUGGUCCUGCUUCUCUCUUACUUAGAGUUGAAUAGAUGGAAGUGGAUACUUUAAGUUCUGAGUAUUUUCAAGAUUACUCUUAGCUGUAAGUGAGUAAAUCUCUUUUCU